UAUGUAGGCGGUUUUGUAAGUUCGGUGUGAAAUCUCCCGGCUCAACUGGGAGGGUGCGCCGAAAACUGCAAGGCUAGAGUGUGGGAGAGGAAAGCGGAAUUCCUGGUGUAGCGGUGAAAUGCGUAGAUAUCAGGAGGAACACCAGCGGUGUAGACGGCUUUCUGGACCAUUACUGACGCUGAGAUACGAAAGCGUGGGGAGCAAACAGGAUUAGAUACCCUGGUAGUCCACGCCCUAAACGAUGCGGACUUGGUGUGGGCAGUUCAUUCUGUCCGUGCCGGAGCUAACGCGUUAAGUCCGCCGCCUGGGGAGUACGGUCGCAAGGCUGAA
RNAcentral lists this ribosomal RNA (330 nucleotides) under uncultured bacterium. RNAcentral describes it as "bacterial SSU rRNA". It matches the Rfam family "Bacterial small subunit ribosomal RNA", at positions 568 to 898 of the family's 1533-position model. The record is from RNAcentral.